GAUGAACGCUGGCGGCGUGCCUAAUACAUGCAAGUCGAGCGAACAGACGAGGAGCUUGCUCCUUUGACGUUAGCGGCGGACGGGUGAGUAACACGUGGAUAACCUACCUAUAAGACUGGGAUAACUUCGGGAAACCGGAGCUAAUACCGGAUAACAUGUUGAACCGCAUGGUUCAACAGUGAAAGACGGUCUUGCUGUCACUUAUAGAUGGAUCCGCGCCGCAUUAGCUAGUUGGUAAGGUAACGGCUUACCAAGGCAACGAUGCGUAGCCGACCUGAGAGGGUGAUCGGCCACACUGGAACUGAGACACGGUCCAGACUCCUAAGGGAGGCAGCAGUAGGGAAUCUUCCGCAAUGGGCGAAAGCCUGACGGAGCAACGCCGCGUGAGUGAAGAAGGUCUUCGGAUCGUAAAACUCUGUUAUUAGGGAAGAACAAAUGUGUAAGUAACUAUGCACGUCUUGACGGUACCUAAUCAGAAAGCCACGGCUAACUACGUG
Molecule: ribosomal RNA, 497 nt
Filed under: uncultured bacterium
Lineage: Bacteria
Description: partial 16S ribosomal RNA
Rfam family: Bacterial small subunit ribosomal RNA
Source: RNAcentral